Molecule: ribosomal RNA, 554 nt
Filed under: Meyerozyma guilliermondii
Lineage: Eukaryota; Fungi; Ascomycota; Pichiomycetes; Serinales; Debaryomycetaceae
Description: eukaryotic LSU rRNA
Rfam family: Eukaryotic large subunit ribosomal RNA
Source: RNAcentral
CCUUAGUAGCGGCGAGUGAAGCGGCAAAAGCUCAAAUUUGAAAUCUGGCGCCUUCGGUGUCCGAGUUGUAAUUUGAAGAUUGUAACCUUGGGGUUGGCUCUUGUCUAUGUUUCUUGGAACAGGACGUCACAGAGGGUGAGAAUCCCGUGCGAUGAGAUGCCCAAUUCUAUGUAAGGUGCUUUCGAAGAGUCGAGUUGUUUGGGAAUGCAGCUCUAAGUGGGUGGUAAAUUCCAUCUAAAGCUAAAUAUUGGCGAGAGACCGAUAGCGAACAAGUACAGUGAUGGAAAGAUGAAAAGAACUUUGAAAAGAGAGUGAAAAAGUACGUGAAAUUGUUGAAAGGGAAGGGUUUGAGAUCAGACUCGAUAUUUUGUGAGCCUUGCCUUCGUGGCGGGGUGACCCGCAGCUUAUCGGGCCAGCAUCGGUUUGGGCGGUAGGAUAAUGGCGUAGGAAUGUGACUUUACUUCGGUGAAGUGUUAUAGCCUGCGUUGAUGCUGCCUGCCUAGACCGAGGACUGCGAUUUUAUCAAGGAUGCUGGCAUAAUGAUCCCAAACCGC